AGAGUUUGAUCCUGGCUCAGGAUGAACGCUGGCGGCAUGCCUAAGACAUGCAAGUCUAACGAAGUGGUCCAAUGAAGAUGGAGUGCUUGCACGAAAUCAGAUUUGGGUUGCCACUUAGUGGCGAAAGGGUGAGUAACACGUAGGUUAUCUACCUUUAAGACUGGAAUAACAAUUAGAAAUGAUUGCUAAUACCGGAUGAUAUAUAGAGUAAUACGUUACUUUAUAUUAAAAGGAGCCUUUAAAGCUUCACUUAAAG
This 256-nucleotide ribosomal RNA is filed under the name uncultured bacterium. Its description in RNAcentral is "partial 16S ribosomal RNA". It matches the Rfam family "Bacterial small subunit ribosomal RNA", at positions 8 to 224 of the family's 1533-position model. The record is from RNAcentral.